UCGAGGUUAGAGCGAGGAUGCGCGGUAAUACGGACGGUUGAAACGGUAUGCAGAAUCCCUGGGCGGAAAGGGGGCGGAGGCGGGCGGGUAAGCAGGGUGUGAAAGCCCCCGGGCCAACCGGGGAAUUGCGCCCUGAACUGGCAGGCGGGAGUGAGAUAGGGGUGUGCGGAACUUCCGGUGGAGCGGUGAAAUGUGUUGAGAUCGGAAGGAACGCCAGAGGCGAAAGCGGCACACUGGGUCUCAACUGACGCUGAGGCACGAAAGCCAGGGGAGCAAACGGGAUUAGAUACCCCGGUAGUC
RNAcentral lists this ribosomal RNA (300 nucleotides) under uncultured Aquifex sp. RNAcentral's name for it is "bacterial SSU rRNA". It matches the Rfam family "Bacterial small subunit ribosomal RNA", at positions 496 to 795 of the family's 1533-position model. Lineage: Bacteria; Pseudomonadati; Aquificota; Aquificia; Aquificales; Aquificaceae. The record is from RNAcentral.